UAGGGAAUUUUGCGCAAUGGGGGAAACCCUGACGCAGCAACGCCGCGUGAUUGAUGAAGCCCUUCGGGGUGUAAAGAUCUGUCAGUGGGGACGAAACUUGACGGUACCCACAGAGGAAGCACCGGCUAACUCCGUGCC
This 138-nucleotide ribosomal RNA is filed under the name uncultured bacterium. RNAcentral describes it as "partial 16S ribosomal RNA". It matches the Rfam family "Bacterial small subunit ribosomal RNA", at positions 355 to 509 of the family's 1533-position model. The record is from RNAcentral.